RNAcentral lists this ribosomal RNA (434 nucleotides) under uncultured Lachnospiraceae bacterium. RNAcentral's name for it is "partial 16S ribosomal RNA". It matches the Rfam family "Bacterial small subunit ribosomal RNA", at positions 341 to 792 of the family's 1533-position model. The record is from RNAcentral. Lineage: Bacteria; Bacillati; Bacillota; Clostridia; Lachnospirales; Lachnospiraceae.
ACGGAAGGCAGCAGUGGGGAAUAUUGGACAAUGGGGGAAACCCUGAUCCAGCGACGCCGCGUGAGUGAAGAAGUAUUUCGGUAUGUAAAGCUCUAUCAGCAGGGAAGAAAAUGACGGUACCUGACUAAGAAGCACCGGCUAAAUACGUGCCAGCAGCCGCGGUAAUACGUAUGGUGCAAGCGUUAUCCGGAUUUACUGGGUGUAAAGGGAGCGUAGACGGCGAGGCAAGUCUGAAGUGAAAUGCGGGGGCUCAACCCCUGAACUGCUUUGGAAACUGUUUUGCUAGAGUGCAGGAGAGGUAAGUGGAAUUCCUAGUGUAGCGGUGAAAUGCGUAGAUAUUAGGAGGAACACCGGCGGCGAAGGCGGCUUACUGGACUGUAACUGACGUUGAGGCUCGAAAGCGUGGGGAGCAAACAGGAUUAGAUACCCUGGUA